MicroRNA precursor from Dasypus novemcinctus (nine-banded armadillo), 110 nucleotides. The record is from Ensembl. NCBI's taxonomy places the organism in Eukaryota, Metazoa, Chordata, Mammalia, Cingulata, Dasypodidae.
GGAUUAAGUCUUCUUUGGUAUUUAAAAAGUAGAUUUUCCUUCUGUGACUACGUGCUUGAGGAUUAAUCAUAGAGGAAAAUCCACCUUUUCAGUAUCAAAUGCUGCUUUGG